GUAUCCAGCUCCAAUAGCGUAUAUUAAAGUUGUUGCAGUUAAAAAGCUCGUAGUUGAACCUUGGGUCUGGCUGGCAGGUCCGCCUCACCGCGUGUACUUGUCCGGCCGGGCCUUCCUUCUGGAGAACCUCAUGCCCUUCACUGGGCGUGUUGGGGACCAGGACUUUUACUUUGAAAAAAUUAGAGUGUUCAAAGCAGGCCUUUGCUCGAAUACGUUAGCAUGGAAUAAUAGAAUAGGACGUGCGGUCCUAUUUUGUUGGUUUCUAGGACCGCCGUAAUGAUUAAUAGGGACAGUCGGGGGCAUCAGUAUUCAAUUGUCAGAGGUGAAAUUCUUGGAUUUAUUGAAGACUAACUACUGCGAAAGCAUUUGCCAAGGAUGUUUUCAUUAAUCAGUGAACGAAAGUUAGGGGAUCGAAGACGAUCAGAUACCGUCGUAGUCUUAACCGUAAACUAUGCCGACUAGGGAUCGGGCGAUGUUCUUUUUCUGACUCGCUCGGCACCUUACGAGAAAUCAAAGUUUUUGGGUUCUGGGGGGAGUAUGGUCGCAAGGCUGAAACUUAAAGAAAUUGACGGAAGGGCACCACCAGGCGUGGAGCCUGCGGCUUAUU
RNAcentral lists this ribosomal RNA (607 nucleotides) under fungal sp. Its description in RNAcentral is "SSU rRNA". It matches the Rfam family "Eukaryotic small subunit ribosomal RNA", at positions 579 to 1194 of the family's 1831-position model. The record is from RNAcentral. Lineage: Eukaryota; Fungi.